This 136-nucleotide small nucleolar RNA is filed under the name Mola mola (ocean sunfish). RNAcentral's name for it is "Small nucleolar RNA SNORA9 (ENSMMOG00000013621.1)". It matches the Rfam family "Small nucleolar RNA SNORA9". From Rfam's summary of the family: ACA9 is a member of the H/ACA class of snoRNA that guide the sites of modification of uridines to pseudouridines. The record is from Rfam by way of RNAcentral. Lineage: Eukaryota; Metazoa; Chordata; Actinopteri; Tetraodontiformes; Molidae.
CUGCAGACUUUUCCAGCGAGGCUCAGCCUGCUGUGGCUCCGUCCUUUCCUGUCUUGUCUGCUAGAGAGACGCGAGGCAGUUUGAGGCCCCGCUGCGACCCCUCAGCGGCAGGGUUAUAGGUUCGCCUCCGACAAAA